UACAGAGGGUGCAAGCGUUGUUCGGAAUUAUUGGGCGUAAAGCGCGUGUAGGUGGUGGGCCAAGUCUGUGGUGAAAUCGCCCGGCUCAACUGGGCGGGGUCCGUGGAAACUGGUCGACUGGAGGACGGUAGAGGCGAGUGGAAUUCCCGGUGUAGUGGUGAAAUGCGUAGAGAUCGGGAGGAACACCAGUGGCGAAGGCGGCUCGCUGGGCCGGUCCUGACACUGAGACGCGAAGGCGUGGGGAGCAAACAGG
This 253-nucleotide ribosomal RNA is filed under the name uncultured bacterium. Its description in RNAcentral is "partial 16S ribosomal RNA". It matches the Rfam family "Bacterial small subunit ribosomal RNA", at positions 524 to 776 of the family's 1533-position model. The record is from RNAcentral.